RNAcentral lists this ribosomal RNA (780 nucleotides) under uncultured Neocallimastigales. RNAcentral's name for it is "partial large subunit ribosomal RNA". It matches the Rfam family "Eukaryotic large subunit ribosomal RNA", at positions 23 to 644 of the family's 3401-position model. The record is from RNAcentral. Lineage: Eukaryota; Fungi; Neocallimastigomycota; Neocallimastigomycetes; Neocallimastigales.
AGAGAUGUGUGAUGACGCAUAUCAAUAAGCGGAGGAAAAGAAACUAACAAGGAUUCCCCUAGUAACGGCGAGUGAAGCGGGAAGAGCUCAAAUUUGAAAUCUUAAAGGGUUUCCCUUUACGAAUUGUAGUUUAAAGAAGUGUUUUCUGUUGGAGUUUCGGUAAAAGUUCUUUGGAAUAGGACAUCAUAGAGGGUGAGAAUCCCGUAUUUGACCGUUACUUUCCAGCUUUGUGAUACACUUUCAAAGAGUCGGAUUGUUUGGGAAUGCAGUCCAAAAUGGGUGGUAAAUUUCAUCUAAAGCUAAAUAUUGGCGAGAGACCGAUAGCGAACAAGUACCGUGAGGGAAAGAUGAAAAGAACUUUGAAAAGAGAGUUAAACAGUACGUGAAAUUGUCAAAAGGGAAGCGUUUGACACCAGUGUUGUUUUUCCGAAAAUCAAUUACGAAUGUUUUAUUUUUGAGAAGUUAUGACUUCAUCGGCUUGCUUCUCUCUUUAUGAAACUUUCUUAAUGCACUUUUCGGUUAACAAGUCAACAUCAAUUUCUUUUUGUUGUAAAAGGGUAUGAGGAAGGUGGCUUUCUUUUCGGAGAAAGUGUUUAUAGCCCUUGUACCUUCUGCAAUCGGAGAGAUUGAGGUCUGCAGCGUAGAUCCUUCGGGGUUAGAUACAUUUGUGCUAAGUUAUAGCUUCUCAUAGACAACUUGUUGACUUAUGAUUAAGUCUUGUAGCUUACUCGCUUAUGCUAUUUUACCUACGCUUAGGAUGUUGAUAGUCACAGCGUGUAC